GAUGAAGAACGUAGCGAAAUGCGAUACUUGGUGUGAAUUGCAGAAUCCCGUGAACCAUCGAGUCUUUGAACGCAAGUUGCGCCCGAAGCCAUCAGGUUGAGGGCACGUCUGCCUGGGCGUCACAUAUCGUUGCCCAAUGCCUAUUGCAGUGCAAUAGGAAUUUCUAGGGCGAAUGAUGGCUUCCCGUGAGCGUUGUUGCCUCGCGGUUGGUUGAAAAUCGAGUCCUUGGUAGGGUGUGCCAUGGUAGAUGGUGGUCGAGUAAGAACGAUACCGAUCAUGUGCAUGCUCCCCAAAAUAUGGCCUCUAUGACCCACACGCGUCUUUUGACGCUCAUGACGAGACCUCAGGUCAGGCGGGGCUACCCGCUGAAUUUAAGCAUAUCAAUAGCGGAGGA
RNAcentral lists this unclassified non-coding RNA (394 nucleotides) under soil metagenome. RNAcentral's name for it is "partial contains 5.8S ribosomal RNA, internal transcribed spacer 2, and large subunit ribosomal RNA". The stretch from base 1 to 122 matches the Rfam family "5.8S ribosomal RNA", at positions 35 to 154 of the family's 154-position model. The record is from RNAcentral.